This 413-nucleotide ribosomal RNA is filed under the name uncultured bacterium. RNAcentral describes it as "bacterial SSU rRNA". It matches the Rfam family "Bacterial small subunit ribosomal RNA", at positions 506 to 921 of the family's 1533-position model. The record is from RNAcentral.
GGCCAGCAGCCGCGGUAAUACGAAGGAUUCGAGCGUUAUCCGGAUUUAUUGGGUUUAAAGGGUGCGUAGGUGGACUAAUAAGUCAGUGGUGAAAGCCCGCAGCUUAACUGCGGAACUGCCAUUGAUACUGUUAGUCUUGAGUACAGUUGAGGUGGGCGGAAUGUGUCAUGUAGCGGUGAAAUGCUUAGAUAUGACACAGAACACCGAUUGCGAAGGCAGCUCACUAAGCUGUAACUGACACUGAGGCACGAAAGCGUGGGGAGCAAACAGGAUUAGAUACCCUGGUAGUCCACGCCCUAAACGAUGAUUACUCGAUGUUGGCGAUACACUGUCAGCGUCUAAGCGAAAGCAUUAAGUAAUCCACCUGGGGAGUACGACCGCAAGGUUGAAACUUAAAGGAAUUGGCGGGGGAC